Molecule: long non-coding RNA, 3284 nt
Organism: Lycium barbarum (goji berry)
Lineage: Eukaryota; Viridiplantae; Streptophyta; Magnoliopsida; Solanales; Solanaceae
Exons: 4
Source: RefSeq, a predicted model, not a curated record
UUCACUACUAAAAAAAAUAGGUAUUUUCAACCUGGAAAUUUCGACCUCACUUUUGGUCGGAAAAAAAAAAUCGACCUCGUGUGGUCGAAAUAUCUAGAUUUAAUUUUUUUUAAUUUUCGUUAGAAUUUCGAUCACACGGGGUCUAUUUUUUAACAGGAAAAUAAAAUUUCGACCGCAUGUGAUCAAAAUUAUUUUUUGUACAAAUAAUAAAUGGGAAAAAAAUCAUUUUACACAAAAACAAAUUAUAUAAAUAUAAAACAAUUAAUUAAAAAAGUAAAAAAAAAAAAAAUCGACCACAUGUGGUCGAAAAGGUUCAGUAAAAAAGAAGCCCACACCCAGCUUCCCCACCCCCCUCCCCAAACUUUCUCUUCCCUUUCUAAAAAAAACUUUACCCUCUCUAAAUUCAUCUCCUCCAAAAUUCCACCACCGUAUCACCUCCCACCCACUACCAUCGGCGUUCUUCAAGUAGGCAACGCUGGCCAAUUUCGAAAUGAAUUUCUAGAUUAGCAGAUUUAUCGAUAUCAAGUUAGUAAAAAUAACCAAAUUCGUGUUGGCGAUUAUUUAUGAUUAACCACCAAAGCAGCCACCAACUGCCGCCGACUAAACAGUGAGCUAGUGAUCUUUAUGGAACAAGACGAAUGGCUAGACUAUCAUAUUCGCGGGAUCAAAAAUUAUUACAACCUCAGAAGAGUAUGGAAAUUGCAGGAGUGAGAAAGAGCUAGUGGAGGCACUGCAUUCAUUCAUUGUUAUGGAGAGAAAAAGGCCACAUUAUAGCUUGUGCUGCUCUCUUUCCUUACUAUGAAGAAAAUAUGGAGAGGUUGUUGUUAUUGCUGUUUCUCGUGAUUGUCAUAGCCAAGGACAAGGAGACAAAUUACUUGGUGUAGUGACUAUUUUCUCAUACUUGGUAUAGUGACUCUUUUCUCAUACUCCCUCCUUUCACUUUUACUUGUCCAGUAUUUUAAAAAUAAAUUCACUUUUACUUGUCACUUUUAGCACAUCAAGAAAAGACAAUUUCUUUUUCCUGUUUUACCCAUUGUAUUAAUUACUCCUUUCAAAUCAUUUUCAAGUCCAUUAAAAUUAUAUGCACUAAUUAAUAUGGGUAUCAUGAUAAAUUCUACAUUUCAUUCAUUAUUUCUUAAGGGGUGUGCAAAAGCCAAAGUGGACAAGUAAAAGUGAACGGAGGGAGUAAAACUAUUUUUUCUUCGCGAUAUAUAAUGCAUAUAAGCAGUUUCAGGAUGUUGUGAUCGUUUGCAUUUUUCCUAUGAAGUUGCAAAACACAGGAGAUUACUCUUCCUAAGCCAUGUUAAACGUGAAACUCUAAUCUUCCAAGAUAUCAUAAUUUCUACUCAUUAACUGGAUUGAGCGUUUCUCAGUCUUUUACAAUGCUGAGAAGGAAAAGGUUGAAGAUGACGUCGACUCUAUUUAGCUAGGGGAAUAGAUGUGCCAUUUGUAGCUAUUUUUGUAGGUUUUAUCUACUUAGAAUAUGAACAUAUAAUUUAAUUAAUUGUGGUCUAAUUUACAUGCAUAGCUUUCGAUUGUGGGAGCUUACCUGAAAUUAAAACCUAAGGUUGACUAGCAAAAUUAAGCUCAUUUUCUUUUGAAUUUUUACCCUCAUCAUUUUUUCGAGAGAGUAUUAACUCACUUUUAAUGCCAUUUGGAUCUAGCAAGGCCAGUAGUUUGUAUCUCUAAUGAUUUUGACCAUCCAACGAGCAACUGAUACAAUUACCAAUCUUGCUCAUGUAUAUAGAAUUACAGAAAUAAUGACAGGUUAGUUUUUUUUUUUCUUCUCUGAAAAUUUUGUUAAUUGUAGCUUUUACUGAAAGAAGACUUCAUGUUUUCUUGCGCCAACAAUAUUUUGUGAAUAUAGGAGUGAGGGUGGUAUCCUCCCCUUAUUGAUUUGCUUGAGUUUUUUGAUGGUGCAUAUAGUAGCUGUAGGAGCCUUGUGAACUUUGGCAUUUAAGAAUGAUGAGAACAAAAUCUAGUUAAUCUGUAUGAUUAUUGUUUUGCACAUUUUACCUUGUCUGAACUAAUUACAUAUGGCCUUCCCACACUUGCACUCAAUAUUUUUUAUCUCAAAUAUCUGUAUGGUUACUGUUUUACAUAUUUUACCUUGUCUUAACUUAUCACAGAUGCUCUUCCCGCACUUGUAAUAAUGCUAAGGUCUGAUGGUAUAGAUAUAUGCUAUGAAACGGUUAGACACUAUUUAACAAGUAGGUCUAAGUUGCAUCUAUUCCCUCCCAUCUUCUGUGUUAGUGAAUUAAAAGUUCUUGAUUACUUUGAUGGAUACUUUUGCCUCUGCAAGUUGAAACACUACAUUUUUAUAUAGCUAUAAAAUUAUUAAGUAUACAUAGGAUAGUAAGAUGGACAUUCAUUUGCAAUGCAAUGGACAAUUUCCAUACUACUAGGAAGGUUGCAUAUCUUUUAUAUCUGAACUGAUUAUGAUUUACUUUCAUAUGUCAUCCUCAAUUCGAAGUGCAGGAUAGGUGAGGCUUCUGGUGUCAUUGUAUUAAAGGGAACUGGAGUAUGCAACAAAGCGAGGAACUAAGAUAUAUGCAGAGCUACGUGGCUAUGAUUAAGACUUUUUGAACAAUUGUGAUGUUUGAAUUUUACAUUUGGUAUAGGCUACAUAACAUUUCCACACUUUAAAAGUGUGGCCAUAGGGAUGUCAAUUGUGUGGCUUAUUGAUUGUAAAUUGUGGCAUGUACAUUAGCAAAGACUACACUUUGCAAAUGUUGCUUUAGAUGAGGUAGCAACAACCACACUUGGAAAAUGUAGUUUUAUGUCAUGAAAAGCGGUUCCAUGCGAGGUGCUACAAGCGUAGCCUUUGUACCUUAUAGGCCAUGCUUUUGAAGUGUGGUUGAUAAAGCCAUGCUUGAAAAGCGUGGCCUUAGGCCAAAGGUUUCACUUGUUUAGGCCACCCACAGAAAAGCAUAGUCUAAAGUCGGAAAGUGUGACUUUUGAUCAAAGACUACACUUUUUUGAUAGUUUAGGCCACACUUUUUCGGGGUGGCUAAAGGCCUAAAAAGUUUUAGUGUGUUUAAGGGUUUGAGUGUAGUUUUGAUUCGAAUUAGAAGUACUUUGAAGGUGAAUUUGAUUGUAGAAUGUAGUUUAUGGUUGUUUAAGUGUAUGAUGUUUAAGUGUUUGAAUGUAGUUGUAAUUUGAAUUAGAAGUACUUUAAAUUGAAAUUUGAGGUUGAAUUUCAUUGUAGAAUGUUGUAGUUUAUGAUUGUAGAAGUACUUUGAUGAAUUGGAUGUGUUGAUGAAUUGCAUUGUUGAUUUGGUUGA